UUUCCAGGCAAAUCCGGAAAAUCAAGGCUGAGGCGUGAUGACGAGGCACUACGGUGCUGAAGCAACAAAUGCCCUGCUUCCAGGAAAAGCCUCUAAGCAUCAGGUAACAUCAAAUCGUACCCCAAACCGACACAGGUGGUCAGGUAGAGAAUACCAAGGCGCUUGAGAGAACUCGGGUGAAGGAACUAGGCAAAAUGGUGCCGUAACUUCGGGAGAAGGCACGCUGAUAUGUAGGUGAAGUCCCUCGCGGAUGGAGCUGAAAUCAGUCGAAGAUACCAGCUGGCUGCAACUGUUUAUUAAAAACACAGCACUGUGCAAACACGAAAGUGGACGUAUACGGUGUGACGCCUGCCCGGUGCCGGAAGGUUAAUUGAUGGGGUCAGCGCAAGCGAAGCUCUUGAUCGAAGCCCCGGUAAACGGCGGCCGUAACUAUAACGGUCCUAAGGUAGCGAAAUUCCUUGUCGGGUAAGUUCCGACCUGCACGAAUGGCGUAAUGAUGGCCAGGCUGUCUCCACCCGAGACUCAGUGAAAUUGAACUCGCUGUGAAGAUGCAGUGUACCCGCGGCAAGACGGAAAGACCCCGUGAACCUUUACUAUAGCUUGACACUGAACAUUGAGCCUUGAUGUGUAGGAUAGGUGGGAGGCUUUGAAGUGUGGACGCCAGUCUGCAUGGAGCCGACCUUGAAAUACCACCCUUUAAUGUUUGAUGUUCUAACGUGGACCCGUGAUCCGGGUUGCGGACAGUGUCUGGUGGGUAGUUUGACUGGGGCGGUCUCCUCCUAAAGAGUAACGGAGGAGCACGAAGGUUGGCUAAUCCUGGUCGGACAUCAGGAGGUUAGUGCAAUGGCAUAAGCCAGCUUGACUGCGAGCGUGACGGCGCGAGCAGGUGCGAAAGCAGGUCAUAGUGAUCCGGUGGUUCUGAAUGGAAGGGCCAUCGCUCAACGGAUAAAAGGUACUCCGGGGAUAACAGGCUGAUACCGCCCAAGAGUUCAUAUCGACGGCGGUGUUUGGCACCUCGAUGUCGGCUCAUCACAUCCUGGGGCUGAAGUAGGUCCCAAGGGUAUGGCUGUUCGCCAUUUAAAGUGGUACGCGAGCUGGGUUUAGAACGUCGUGAGACAGUUCGGUCCCUAUCUGCCGUGGGCGCUGGAGAACUGAGGGGGGCUGCUCCUAGUACGAGAGGACCGGAGUGGACGCAUCACUGGUGUUCGGGUUGUCAUGCCAAUGGCACUGCCCGGUAGCUAAAUGCGGAAGAGAUAAGUGCUGAAAGCAUCUAAGCACGAAACUUGCCCCGAGAUGAGUUCUCCCUGACCCUUUAAGGGUCCUGAAGGAACGUUGAAGACGACGACGUUGAUAGGCCGGGUGUGUAAGCGCAGCGAUGCGUUGAGCUAACCGGUACUAAUGAACCGUGAGGCUUAACCUUACAACGCCGAAGGUGUUU
RNAcentral lists this ribosomal RNA (1438 nucleotides) under Escherichia coli. RNAcentral's name for it is "partial 23S ribosomal RNA". It matches the Rfam family "Bacterial large subunit ribosomal RNA", at positions 1529 to 2925 of the family's 2925-position model. The record is from RNAcentral. Lineage: Bacteria; Pseudomonadati; Pseudomonadota; Gammaproteobacteria; Enterobacterales; Enterobacteriaceae.